RNAcentral lists this ribosomal RNA (462 nucleotides) under uncultured bacterium. RNAcentral's name for it is "partial 16S ribosomal RNA". It matches the Rfam family "Bacterial small subunit ribosomal RNA", at positions 28 to 507 of the family's 1533-position model. The record is from RNAcentral.
GAUGAACGCUGACAGAAUGCUUAACACAUGCAAGUCAUUGGCGAAGCUGCGCUUGCGCAGUCUAGCCAAGGCGGACGGGUGAGUAACGCGUAAGGAACUUGCCCUGCAGACAGGGAUAACAGACGGAAACGACUGAUACCACCUGGUAUUGUCAGGCUGGCGCAUGCCGGCCUGAUGAAAGGAGACGCUGCAGGAGAGCCUUGCGUCCUAUUAGCUAGUUGGUGGGGUAACGGCCCACCAAGGCGAUGAUAGGUAGCCGGCCUGAGAGGGUGAACGGCCACAAGGGGACUGAGAUACGGCCCUUACUCCUACGGGAGGCAGCAGUGGGGAAUAUUGGACAAUGGGGGCAACCCUGAUCCAGCAAUUCUGUGUGCACGAAGAAGGUUUUCGGAUUGUAAAGUGCUUUCAGCAGGGAAGAAGAAAGUGACGGUACCUGCAGAAGAAGCGACGGCUAAAUACGUG